UCGAACUUCAAUCAUGCCACAAAAUACUCUAAAAUAUUUCUAUAUACUAAUUUAAAUAAUUUGAUAUUAAAUACUCACUAAAACUUAAAUUAAUUUUAAUUCCAAUUUCCUCAACCAAUUCCACAACCAUUUCAAACACAAUCUUUUUUGUGUGCGUGUGUUAGUUUUUUUUUAUAAAAAAAAUAGGGUCAGGUCGGCUUUAAGUCCGAUCCUGACCCGAAAUUUAUUCGGGCCUUAAAAUUUUAGCCCUAACCCGACUCUAAAUCCGAAAAUUCGGGCCAAAGCCCUAAAAAUUAAGGUCGGGUUAGUCAAGCCAAAAAUAGGAUCGGACUAAAUUGCCAAGCCUAGUUGUAUAUGCUAAUCAAAUACCAAUGGUUACUUCUUAACAUUUAACGUUGCCAACUUGUCACAACAUUUUGAAUGAAAGCAUUUAAAUUAAAAGUAGAGUAGAAAGAAUGAGGGCAAUGACUUGUUCUUAAGUGUUGCCUGAUGAAUUGAGAUGAUAUAAAUAUGAUUUUAAGAACAAACGUUCUCGGUAUAAUAAUUCUAUUUGUAUAUAACAAGUUGUUGGGGACAAAAAUCAUAUCAUAAAACGAUAAACUAUAUAAGAUCGUAACACAGAGACAGUAACUUUAAGAACCCAAAAUAAUUUACAAUUUAUUAUUAAAUUAAUUUAAUCAUGAAGAGUAUUUAAAUAUAAGUCAUUAAUUGCACUUGAUUUGUAUUCUCAAAAUAUUUAUAGUUUAUGACUAACAUCAAGUCUAUAGGUACAAUAGUAAAAUCACAUAUAAAAUUAACAUUGUUAUAAUUACAUGGAGAGAUUUGAGUUUAUUUUAAAAUAUAAGCGGUACACUUAGUUUCUCCAAACAACAGGAAAUUAAUCUUCAUUUUCCCUUUUUAUUUUAAUAUUGAUAAAUCUGCUCAUGAUUAUGAUUAAGAAUCUAUUAGGACACAUCUAGAACAAUUAUUAAUGUAUGAACCAAAUGUCUAUUCCCAUAAAUCGAUUGAGAAUAGCAUAGAUCAAGAAUUAGGCCGGAAGCUGCCCUCUCAAUUAUUUUGAUAUUUAUCAUUUUGGUACAAUUUUCCACAGUUGUAGGUCCACAAAGAAGUACAUGUACGCAAUAGUCGUCCACAAAAGCAUGCAAAUUGAUACCAAUACGAACAAGUGUUUAAUGGGGCAGAUACAAAAUAUGAUUUUGCUAUCAAUGAAAAUGUUGUUUACAUCUUCACUCUCAUUCAUUUUCAUGCAAGCAAAUCAAAACUUUGUUUUUCUUGGAAGUUUAAUAUGUUAUUUUAUUACGUGACUUAAGAGUUAAGGAUAACUAGAAAUUGCCACAUGACGAACAAGUGUUUAAUGGGCAGAUACGGAAUAUUAUGUUGCUAUCAAUGAAAAUGUUGUUUACGUUAGAAAAUAUAUCAUCUUCACUCGCAUUCAUUGUCAUGAAAGCAAAUCAAAACUUUUGCUCUUCUUGGAAUUUUAAUACACUUUCUACAUUUGUUUUAUUGGUUGACUUAGAGUCAAGGUAAUCUAAAAAUUGUCACUUCUAUCUUAAUUUUUUGUGUUGGCUAAAUCCUCUUUUCUGAAUCUAAUAUUUUACUUGUCCCUUUCUGAGAUUAAAGACACUCAUAUGUGAAAUUGUUAGUAUCUUGAGAAUAAAAAUUUGAGCUUAUAGCAACGUUAAGAAGCUAACAUGAAGAUCUAAUUGCUUAAAUUUUUAACAUGUCCUCCAAGGUAGUUAAUGUUAGAUUUUUAAUAAUAGGGGUUUUGCUCAUUUUUCCAUACCUAAAACAAAAAGACUAAAUGUCAAUUAAACCCUUUUUUUUCUGAAAUUUUAGUGUAAAGUUAAUAACCAAGUGCCCAACACACUUAACACAUGUCAACCAAAUUAUUGACAAUGCAUCACUUGGGGGAUAUGCCAACAAUGUAUCCUAAUCUAACAAUUUACAGGUAAUAUUUCUCUUCGCUUGGCCUAGGUCUUCAACGUAGUUUUCAUUAGAGAUGAAAGAAAGAAAGAAAUGUUAUUUUAUCAAUAAUACUAGGAACCUUAAUAUUUGAGUCCAAUAUGAGUUUCAAUUACUAUGUGUCAAAUUUAUUAAAAAUUAAAUUUUAUAACUUAUAAAAUUAUCAUUAUGCUAUUUAAUAAAUGAGUGCCACAUGAAAUACAAUUUAAAUUAAAACUCAAAUAUUGAGUUUCCUAACAUUACCGUUAACAUGAACCGAAAGGAAGAAAAAAAUUGCAAAAUGUGCAGCGCUAAGUUGUAUCCACUACAGCGAGAUGAUGCAAAUAACUUUAACACAUUACAGAAGCCCCAUCACCAACACUAUAAAGUAAGAUCAGUAAACACAAUUUGUUUAUUCUAUUUUGUGUUCUGAACAUUGGCUGGCUAAACAGCUGGCUGUUAAGACUCACAAAACGAAAACUGAAUAAUAAAUUAAUAAUGAACAAGACAAAACUUGAAAAUUUUCUGACUGCUGCGGGUGGGCUCUACAUUUACAUCAUGAAGAUGCUUCUUGAUCAUAAUUUUAAAAUAAAUGGAAUUAAUUAAUCCAACUAAUCACUUCAUAAAUCCUAAUCAUCGUAAAGUUUAGAGUAAUCAGCAACUUAUUAGACACUUCAUUAGAUACAAUUGAUCCUAUCCAAUAUCCAUAUGCCUUUAAAUUUCUUACAAGAAUUAUGAUAGUCUACUAGAUCAAAAAAUUGGUGGCUAUAUUUUGAUAUAUAAUUUGAAUAUAAUUUUCUAUUUUGACCCCUAUUUUAAUUAGGGCGGCAAUCAAAUAAAAUUACUUAAAAAUAUUCAGUCAAAUAAUCUUGGAGAAUAAUUUUUUAAAAUUUAUUUUGACUAACUAUAUGAACGAAUUUUCCUUGCACUGAAUAUUUGUCUCCUCAACACAAUAAAAUAUAAACAAAUUCUUUUUUCGUCAAUAAAAUUAUAGAAUUUAAGAAUUUAAGAAUUUAAGAAUUUCAAAUAAUAAAAUUAAUGUAUUAAUGAAAAAAUCAAAAUCAAAAUCAAAAUAAAGAACCGGUUAGAAUAUAUGGUAGAAUUCAAAUUAAUUUAUAGGCUGAAAGUUAAUCUAGAAAAUUUUAAAUUUUCAGCCAAAAUUUUCAGAAAAGCCGCUCAAGAUUCAAAAGAAAUUUAUUAAUUUCUCAAGAAAAUGUGAUGUGAUAAACUUGUGACUAGUAAUAUCCAUCACAACAUGUGACAGAUAUUGUUCUGACAUUAACUAUGAUACGGUGAUGAUAACUACAGACGACAGCUUGUAGUUCUCGGGUGGGGGGUCGGGGUCGUUGGGGGAAAUGAUAACUACGGAUGACAGCUUGUAGUGCUCGGGUGUUGGGGGGAGGGGUGGGGGUGUGUGGGUUUCGGGGUAGUUGGCUAAGUUAAGGAUCAUGGAACUGACAGAUCCAGUGGCCGCCAACUCCCAUUGCUUGUACGUCAGUGCUUUUUCUCUCUCCCUCCCCUCCCUCCCCUCAGGACACAUGGCUGCCAACCCUACUGGUAUGAGAAUUUUAGGGUUGUAGUUUGUUUUCGGUCUUUUUUGUACUUGCCAUUUUAAUUAGUUGUGCUAGUUAUGUAUUAUUUUAAAAAAUUAAAUUAAAAUCCUUGUGUGAGAGUCAUUUUGGAUUGGAGCACAUAGUUUGCAUUUCAAUUGAGUUGUAAAAUGAUCAUGUUAAAAACUAAUAAUAAAAUCAAUUAAUAUUGUACAUCUUACAAUUAAUGCCAUAUCACUUAGUGUGCAGACUAUGUAUAGAGUUUAAAAUAUUGUAAUUACACUAUAUACUAUUAUAUUUCAUGGGUGCAGGUGUGCACUAUACAUGUGUGUAGAGUGCUUUUUUAAUUUAUUUAUAUUAAAAUAUCCUUAAUAAUAAAUGAAAUGGUUGGUAUAUUUGUUGUAUGAAUUUUAUAAAAUUAUGAGUAUUCAAACUAUUUUUAGAAUGUAAGUAGCUCCACCUAAAUAAAAAUUAAAUGUUAUUCAUUUUUCUUUUAAUCCAAAGGUCCUUUGUAUUGGACCCCAACUAAAAUGUUUUUUUUUUAUUGAAUUUUGAGACUUUAUUAUUUUAAGAUUGUGUAUUAAAAGAACUAUAGCGAUAAUAGUAAGUUUUAAGAGGGAUUUAAGUAUCCUUAUUUUUUAUUUAAUUUGAAGGUCCAUAAUGUUGGACCCAGUUAACUGUUUUUUAUCCAUCAAACGGUAUUGAUUGCCCUUUAAUUUGUGACUUUUUUUUAAAAACAAUAUGAUUCCAUUAAACAUCAGGAUAAAACAAAUCUCAAAGAUAACAACAUAGGUGUGGUGGGAAAUCAUCCACCCAAGCAUAAUACUUCCUACAACAGAUAUAAUAUUUUGCUAAUGCAUCUGCUGCUGUGUUACAAACCCUUGAGAAUGUCCGAACCUGAAAUUUGUGCUUUGGAGAAAGUAAGUUUUUUGCUUUAGAAAUGAGCCAAAACAACUCAGUGCGAGUACUAAGUCGAUCUGACACGAAUUGAGUUACAUGAAGAGAAUCAUAUUCAAUUAUUAGUGGAGAUAAACCAAUCUCCUUAGCCAUCUGUAAUCCAAAGCAUAAGGCUUCAGCCUCAGCCAAAUCAACAUCAUCAGAGAAAACACCUUGAGCCAUUCCUGCAGUCAUCACCAAGCCAUCAUGAUUUCGCACAACAGCCCCAUAACCCACAAUACCCUUUUUGCAUCCACUGCUGCAUCAACAUUUAGCUUCAACCAAUCCACAGGUGGCGGUUCCCACUUUACAUUCUCCUGCCUUUCACUACUCAAAUUACACUUAACACUAUUAAUAUCCAAACUCUGAAAAGAGUCCAAAAUCCCUUGAGCCCGUGCACAAAUAUUUUGUGCUCCACUAGAUUGACCCCUAAACAGCAUAUUGUUUCGUGCCCCCCAAAUACACCACAUAAACAUCACCACUAAGCAUAACUCAGUUAUGGAUAAGAUAGACACAACAUAUUUAUAAAAAAAAACACCAGUAAUCAUUUGAAGCAUCACAUAAUACCAAAUCAGCAAAUAUUGUUUCCCGCCAAACCUUUUGUGCGAAAGCACAAUGAAAUAAUGCAUGCAUAAGGGUCUCACAAAGAGAACCACACAAACUACAGCUAGCAUCAGAGAGUACCUUUCGAAUUACGAGAUUGACCUUUGUCGGAUGUACAUUGUCCAGAAUACGCCAAAGAAAAAUCUUAACUUUGGCGGGCACCUGUAAAGUCCAAAUCAAGUUCCAGCCCUUUGAAACCCCAACCGACAAUCCCGCAGUUGCUGAAUCCCUAAGCUGUAUAGCCAGACGAUACCCCGAUUUAACAAUGUACAUACUACAUUUAUCGAAAUGCCAAAACACAGCAUCGUCCUUGUGCUCAGAGGGAAGCUUCAAAGUUAAAAUCAAUUCAACAUCAGUAGGUAAAAAGUGUUCCCGUAAUCUUGCCGCAUGCCAGCCAUUCCUAGGAUUAAGUAAAUAAUCUACUGUUGUUUCCAGUGGUAGUGAAGCUGGUGACAUAGGCUUUAAUUUGUGACUUUAGUUUAUUGUAUAAGACCAAAUAUUAAAAAUACAUCAAGAACAAUGUAUAGUGAUAAAAAUAAAGUUUAAAGACUAAAAUAAUAUUAUAUUUUUAUUUAAUCCAAAGGUCCACUGUAUUGGACCUCGCUAAAAUGAAUUUAGCAAGCAUUCUUGACUUGUGAUUGGGCUAUUGACACCUAUUUUACUUUGUAACUUCGUCGCUUAUGCUGGGCAUGUGCAUGCAUUUUCUUCGGCUGUUGACUUCUUGAUAUUCACUGCUAAAGCUGACUACAUGCUUGUUUUUUUAUGAUUUUUCAAAGAAUCUUUUCUUCAGUUCUUUUGUGAUCAGGUGUACGAAUGUCAUCACGAGAGGCCAAUUUUGUUCGAUACUCUGUUCCAUUAUUGGUUUAAGUAAGGAGUAAAGGCCCUUUCAAAAUCUGAUAAGGUUGUUAAAGUAGCUCAUUAUUCAAGCAGCUUAAUAAAGCCACGUCAGCCGAAAGUUGUUAAGUGAAGAAUAACAGCUCAGCAUGAUUUGUUAAAGGUCAUUGUCCAGCUCAUAAAAUCGUUAUGUAACAAAUUCUACUAUAACAUUACAGAAGCCCCAUCACCAACACUCUAUAAAAGUAAGAUCAGUGAACACAAUUUGUUUAUUCUAUUUUGUGUUUUGAACAUUGGCUGGCUAAACAGCUGGCUGUUAAGACUCACAAGACGUAAACUGAAUAAUAAAUUAAUAAUGAACAAGACAGAACUUGAAAAUUUUCUGACUCCUGCGGGUGGGCUUUACAUUUACACCACUACAAGAAAAAUGACCUAUAAUGACAGAUACUCAUGUGACAGUUUUUAGCUAAAAGGCUUUAUAUCUUAUAAGUACGACAUACACGUAACAGAAAUUUUUUCUAUAAAAAAUUUAUGAUAAAUAUAUGAUAGAAUUUACUGUUGUCAAAUACUUAUGACCAACUAAUGAUUUAUAUUUUCUCUAUCAAAAAAUUAUGAUAGAAUUUUAUUUUGACUUUAGAUUUGACCGAAAUUUUAAAAAUUCUAAAUAAUAAAAAUAAAAAAUAAAACAACAUCAAAACAAAGAAAGAAGUGAAACGACGUUGUUUCAGACCUUUAUUAGUAUUUCAAUCUCUUUUUUCCCCAAGUGUUAAGGCCACACUCACUCGUUACUCUAAAACUUCUCUCUCUAGUGUAGCUCGCUCCUCACUGACAAUGACAACCCUCACUGUCGUUGGCUCGCCGCUGACCCGCCGCAGUUUUUCUUUGCCACAGCGGAAUCAAAUUCAGUCCUAAAUCGAAACCAAAACCUUACCUGUCGACGACAGCCGAAACCCUAGCCAUCAAGAAUCCCUGAAAGCAACACUCAUUCGCAAGCAAGCUUUACCUAUUUCUCAGCGAUUUCUAGCAAGUGAUGGUGAGCUUCGCCGUUAUCUCAACUAUCUUCGACACGAGCUUCAAAGUUCUCAUCUCUUUUAAACCCUAAGUAUGAUUUUUUUUGUGGAUUUCAAUUUUUUUUUUGCAUUAUUAUUUUGUUUGAUUGUUUCUCUUACUCGAUUUGUGAUUAUAAAUUUAUAUAUAGUAUAGGAUGUUGUUCCGACUCUUGCAUUAAUGAUAUAUUUUUUACAUAUGGGUUUUGCAUUCCAUGUGUUUGUUAAAGGUUCUAUUACAUUUCUGGGUAUGUUGUGUUUUAGUAUUACAAUAAUUCAUUAUAGAAUUUUCUCAUUUAUUAAAUUUUAGAAACAUUUCUUGAGCUGCUUUAUUAAUCGGCUAAAUUGAGCGAGACGGGGAUGAGUAGAACAACGAGGCCGGAACUGAUAGCGUUAUACGAAUGAACUUCUCCGUUUUAGGAUUCAAGAAAUUUACAAAUCUAGUUAAUAAUGUUCGUUUGGGCUUUUAAUGAUAGGAUUACAUUUUAUUCUACAAUUCAGCCUUCUUUUGGAUUGAAAAGUCUUGUACAACUUGUGACAAUUGAUUAAGUUGCUACUCAAGUAAUGCCCUGUGUUUGCAUUUUGGCUCAUAAUGCUUGAUCCUUCAAUGGGAAUGAAAAGAAUAUUGAAAAAUUGCUUCAAAAUCUAAUUAAUAUUAUCUGCAAAAGUUUCUUGAAUAAUUUGCGGAGUGAAUCUCUUAAUCGUCAUUAGUAAUUUAGUUAACUGCAGACUUUGAAGUUUCCAAUUAUUUAUUCAUUCAAUAUAAUUUUUUCACUAGUGCAACAUCAGGUGGAAUUCUUAAUAAAGCUAUUGAAGCAGAGGAAAAGACGCAUGGAGACUUCUUAAGGCUGGUGAUGUUUCUUUCUUGUUCCUUCGAUGCUCUUGUUGGUGUUUAUUCACAAUCCUGUUAGUCUUAAAAUAUAUUUCAAAAAUUCUGAUCUCAUUUGUUUGUUGGGACUAUACAUACCAGAGCAUAUAAAGGGCUACUUGGAAUUGUCAGCCAAGACAAAAAUUUAUUUUUGCUACAGAUUUUUCCAAGGGGGGUGCAGAAUUUUGUAGGUGAGGGGGCUCGAGGGAAAUGGGGGAGUCCAUAUCUCGUGGCAUCAAAUUUGAUGAUGAUGUUCAUGUAAAUUUGGGUAAGGAAACUUUGUUAUGUUUAUUUUUAUUCUGAAAUGUGAUAUCAAGCUUUUCAAGUAAGGAAUUGCUUAUAUUAGUUGUUCUUUAAUUCCUAUUUUUCUUUUUAGUCUCUUUUUCGGGUAUGCAAACAUUGAUUGAUAAGUUUGCUGAGGCUGAGCAUGCAAUGCAUUAAUCUUAAAGAGUUAUAAUUCUAGCAUUCACUCAAAUUCUUGGUAUAUUCUAAUUCAAAACAGUAUUAAACUUUAAUUAAGGCAUGAGAUGAUUACCAGUAGGAAGGCAUGCUAAAGAGAACAAAACUUAAAGAAUCAUGAACUUAAGUACUUAUAAAUUUGAUUUGGCCUAAGAAUUACAGCUAUAGCUAUUGAUUUUAAUUUUAUUUAUAUAUCAUUACUUAUUGACAGGAAACUGCAGAACGCAAAGAUUACUGUGGAUGCUUUGUCUAUGUGGUAGGUGUUAUACACAACUAAUAGUACUAUAUAAUUUAUAUUUUUAUUUAUUUUGUUGCAUAAAUUUCUUCAAUCCUUUUUAACGCCUUACUUUAGAGAAGGGAAAAAAAGGGUCUGGCCUUAUUCUUCAUUGAAUAUUUUCAUAUUCAAUUAAUUUCAUGUGUAAAUACUUAUUUUUCUGGAUAUGUUCGAUUGAUGAAAUGGGGUACAUUUUACUUGGCUUAGGGGCUGCUGGAUUUUGCUGCUAGAAAAGGACUACAUUUGCAAUACAUUUUCUAUUGCUGAAUGCUAAGUGCUUCACUCAAUUCUUCUUAAUGCAGCCUUAUAUACUUACACUUUUGUUUAGACCUUAUGGAAUUCUUAUAAUUGAUAUGACAACCUCUACUAUGUAUUACUUGGAUUCAAUAGUUAGUGUAGCACACGUGCAUGCAAUUAGAGCGGCUAGCUGCAUGUUUGCUUGCUUCACUGAUAUCUUUGGAUUUUGAUUGUGCUCAAAGCCAAACCAAAAAGCUGUGCAUAUCAUAAAAGAAGCUCCAUCGCAUCACAUCAGUAAGCUUUCAAAAAAGUUUGUGGUAAUUGCAAGGGAGAUGUUUUAAGAUCAUUUUCCACACCAUGUUUUGAUGAUGUUAUAUUUACUUGUGCAGUUACCUAGCUUGUUGCACUUGCUAUGUUGGAAUUUGAUGAAGAUGGUGGGUAUUGCUGGAGUUGGCCAUCUUUUUUCUUUGAUGCAAAAAUAGGUCAUGAGUAUUGGUGCAUCUUUGCACUUUUUUAGCUUCUUCUUAGAUUGGUAUUUGUUGUAUGCUUCACUAAAACUGCUAGAAUAAAUUUUUUUUUUUUCGGUCUGAUCAGUGUUGUUGGCUUUGUUGUGUUGCUGGAAACGAACUGAUCAUGGUUCAUUAGUCUCAAAACUGCUAGUCUUCUACAUGUUGCUGAAAUUUGGUUUUUAUGUUGUUACAAUACUCUUCUAUUUAUGUUGGACUUGUCACUUGUAUUUGGUUAAAUUAUGUUUGUUGACAAUUAUCGAUAAUUAUUUAGUGUUAUUCAUUUCAUUUUCUUUGUUAGUGAAUUUUUAAUUGCAAUAUUCAUUUUAACAAUCUAAUUAAUAACUAAAUUAUGAAAUUUUAAUUUCUAAAUCAAUUGCAAGAUUUUUAUUAAAAUGAUAAGCAUUUCAUGGUAGUAACAAAAUAGUCAUUUUUAUUAAUUAUAAAUUUAAUUUCAGAAUUAAUUGUAAAAAAAAAUUCAAUUAGUUAUAAUUUUCAUUUUCGCGCCAAAUUUAAGAUUUCUCUCUAAAAAUUCAAAAUAUAGCAUGCGAAAUUAAAAAAAAGGGUCAAAUUCAAAAUUAUUAUAUUUCCCUCUAAAUAAAUUUAUGAUAGUUGUUUGACUGGUUAUAUCCAUCACAGGUUAUGACGGGUAUUGUUCUGUCAUCAAUUCUUGACGCUGGCUACAAUGAUGGUAUGAACAACUGUCAUCCACCCCUUACUAUGACAGUUUUACCUGUCAUAGUAGGUCCUUUUUCUUGUAGUGCAUCAUGAAGAUGCUUCUUGAUCAUAAUUUUCAAAUAAAUGGACUUAAUUAAUCCAAUUAAUCACUUCAUAAAUCAUAAUCAUCGUAAAGUUUAGACUAAUCAUCAACUUAUUAGACGCUUCAUUAGAUACAAUUGAUCCUAUCCAAUAUCCAUAUACCUUUAAAUUUCUUACAAGAAUUAUGAUAGUCUACUAGAUCAAAAAAUUG
RNAcentral lists this long non-coding RNA (10224 nucleotides) under Citrus x clementina. RNAcentral describes it as "Citrus clementina (C. clementina) long non-coding RNA (CCLE_LNC005555)". Lineage: Eukaryota; Viridiplantae; Streptophyta; Magnoliopsida; Sapindales; Rutaceae. The record is from RNAcentral.